This 571-nucleotide ribosomal RNA is filed under the name uncultured bacterium. Its description in RNAcentral is "partial 16S ribosomal RNA". It matches the Rfam family "Bacterial small subunit ribosomal RNA", at positions 355 to 918 of the family's 1533-position model. The record is from RNAcentral.
UGGGGAAUUUUGGACAAUGGGCGAAAGCCUGAUCCAGCAAUGCCGCGUGUGUGAAGAAGGCCUUCGGGUUGUAAAGCACUUUUGUCCGGAAAGAAAUCCUUGGCUCUAAUACAGUCGGGGGAUGACGGUACCGGAAGAAUAAGCACCGGCUAACUACGUGCCAGCAGCCGCGGUAAUACGUAGGGUGCAAGCGUUAAUCGGAAUUACUGGGCGUAAAGCGUGCGCAGGCGGUUUGCUAAGACCGAUGUGAAAUCCCCGGGCUCAACCUGGGAACUGCAUUGGUGACUGGCAGGCUAGAGUAUGGCAGAGGGGGGUAGAAUUCCACGUGUAGCAGUGAAAUGCGUAGAGAUGUGGAGGAAUACCGAUGGCGAAGGCAGCCCCCUGGGCCAAUACUGACGCUCAUGCACGAAAGCGUGGGGGAGCAAACAGGAUUAGAUACCCUGGUAGUCCACGCCCUAAACGAUGUCAACUAGUUGUUGGGGAUUCAUUUCCUUAGUAACGUAGCUAACGCGUGAAGUUGACCGCCUGGGGAGUACGGUCGCAAGAUUAAAACUCAAAGGAAUUGACGGGG